This is a long non-coding RNA of Juglans regia (Persian walnut), 997 nucleotides long. RefSeq lists it as uncharacterized. NCBI's taxonomy places the organism in Eukaryota, Viridiplantae, Streptophyta, Magnoliopsida, Fagales, Juglandaceae. The record is from RefSeq and is a predicted model, not a curated record. The transcript has 3 exons.
CGAUGGAAUAUUCAUAACCAAGCAUCGACCAGCACCACCUGUUAACCCAUCCCAGAAUAUAACUCUUGACCGACAACGUUCAGGGGUAUCUCCACCUAUACUCACUUAUGAGCAACAACAGGAGGCAGUUCGGCGUGCAAAGUUUGUUUAUGAGCUAAUGAUUGACAAUGCUCCGGCUGCCAUCAUAGGUCUUGUUGGUCGUAAAGAGUAUGAACAAUGUGCAAAGGAUCUCUAUUUCUUUAUUCAGGUAAUUUUGAUCUCAGAAGGUUGAAAAUUCUCUCUCGAACCAUUUAAUCAGGUAAUUUCUUUUUAACCCCUUUUAUAGAAAACAUUGUGUUGUGUUGCUGUGUUCAUAUGGGUGCAUUGCAGUAAAGUGUGUUGUCAGGCUCAGGGGCAAGCAUAUCCAAAUCCUUCUGAUAUUAGUGAAAUACCUACUUUUAUCCUUUAAGCACCGCUUGCCCCCUGAGAUUCCGUGAACAUUUGCUAAUCUACAGAAUCUGUUUAUAAUGUAAGAUUAUUAAACCUGUUGAAAAACAUGUAAAAUCUGAGUAUGUUUCCUUCUUGAAAAAAUAUUCUGUUUGUCACAGGCUGGGAUCAAACAAUGAACUCACUGGUCGGAUACCUAACUUCAUAGGGAAUUGGUCAGCACUUCAAACCUUAGCAUCAUGAUCAACAUGGAAUCAGCAACCUUACAACUACAAGAUCAUGAAGCUACAGCUGGCUAAUACUCGUUGCAUCACAGAUGGUUCUGAUAUGGGCAUCAUAGAUGGUUCUGAUAUGAAGUCACACAUCAUCAAAUGGACUUGCUGCUACUUGAUAUCUUUUAUAAUUCAUUUACUAGAAAGUCCUUGCUUUAGCUGAGUUGUAUUGUACAUUUAUGUAAAUUUAGAAUCUGUUACAUAGUUGUGCAGAAUUUGCAGUAUUCGAUUGUCCUUUAGUUUGUUAGGAUUCCUUUACUAUUUUUAGUAUAAAGGCAGCACUACCUUGUAAUAGAAAA